This is a non-coding RNA of Camellia sinensis, 1735 nucleotides long. NCBI's taxonomy places the organism in Eukaryota, Viridiplantae, Streptophyta, Magnoliopsida, Ericales, Theaceae. The record is from RefSeq and is a predicted model, not a curated record.
UGGGGGGACGACUGGGUAGAUCCAAAAAUUCAAAAACUGUGCGGGAGGACGUCCGAACGGACGACCGGGUAAAUAAAAAAUUCAAAAAUUAUCUAAUUUACCAAACAUGUUUUCAAAAUGUGUUUUGAAAUUAAUUUGGAAUCGUGAUUUGAAAACUUAAACUAAACAUAGCAUUAGAAUACAAGGGUGAAAUUAAUUUUAGAAUGUCAAACCAAACACAAUUUUUUUUUAAACUCAAAACUAUUUUCAAAAAUUAUAACAAAUAAGUUUUUUUGAGCACAAUUUAGAGCAUUUCAUCGAACACCUUGUGGGCAUCUCUUAAAACCACACAACUACAUGGGACAGUGAUGGUGCUGAUGUAGAAUAACAAGAAGAGUUGUCAAGGUAUAACCGUGGUGGCCAUUUCAUCGUUGGGGCAUUUUGUCGAACACCUUGCCGGUCUUGAAAAGCAUCGCUACCCUUACUGAUGAAGACCAUCACCACACUCAUAGGCACAACCAACCACCUCCAUCGAGCACCAAAACAAGAGUGUUUGUUUCCGAUUCGCAUCCACGAUUUCUACAAAUUGUUUAGAAUUCUCUUGAAAGUAGCACUUCUCAAUCCAUCCACAUUCUUUCAUGGAUUAGAAUACCUCCUAAAAAAUUGUCGAAUUCCCACCAAUUGCUUCAAAAUUCCAACAAAUUGAGGCUUUUGUUGCUUAAUAUAGUGAGUUUCGUGGUGUUGAAGACUUGGUUACCAAGUGUGAAAUUAGGGUUUCUGGAGGUUUUUCUGAAGCGGGGAAUUAUUGUGUUGGCUGCUACUGUUUUCAAAGAGCAAGGCUUGGUUUUGGCUGCGCUUCUGGGUCUCUCUGCAUUUUUUCUCCGUUGCUGAAACUUCAAUUACCACACUUUGGCUUUGGAAGGACCAAUUCCUCAAGGGAACCAGUUUAACACAUUUGGAAAUGAUUCAUACAGCAAGAACUUGGCUUUAUAUGGAUUCCCCUUAUCAGAGAAAUGUAAGGAACCACAGCCACUGCCACCUACACUAACACUCCUACAAGACGAAAAUUCAGACUGGUGAAGCGGGAUUGGCUAGAAUGUUGUAGUGAUGGGGUAUGGAUGCGGAUUUGUAUUUGGAAUGGUUAUGGGAUAUCUUAUGUUUGUAACUUGAAGACUAUAAUGGCUAAUGAAAAUAGUUGAAGGAAAACAAUAUAAGAAGGUGAAAAGGUCCAACAAGGGUGCACACUGAAGCAAUGAAAGAAUAAAUUAGAAAAAACAGGUGGCAUUAUGGGUAAGUGCAAUUUAUCUCUGAAGCAUUACUUUGUUGAUUAUCUUUUAUGGUUUCUAUCUAUAAGCUAUAUUUGAGUUACUAAUGAUUUUUAUUUCAAAACUAGAUAUGUUCCAUUUAGUAGCACUAUAAAGCAAUUGUAUCCACUUGAAGGAGUGUCUCACCUAACUGCUGCAUUUGAGUGUGUGUGCAUCCGGAUAGACGCUAUACUGGAUCACUUCAAAAGCUUUACCCUUGUUGUUGUAUUGAGUUCUAAAGCUUUGUUACGUAUUUUAGCUUUGUUUAAGGACGAGUUAAAUAUGAGUUGCAUGUCAUAACUCUUUAUUGUUUCUUUUCUUGCAUCAUUUAGCAGCCAUUAGAGAUUUGUACUUUUGUAUGUAAUUGUUUUUAAAUUCCACUUCAGUCACUGAAAACUUGGCCUUGCCAAAUUUUUUACUUUGAAAUGCAAUCUUUCAAGUUACAACUCAAA